RNAcentral lists this microRNA precursor (215 nucleotides) under Paramuricea clavata. Lineage: Eukaryota; Metazoa; Cnidaria; Anthozoa; Malacalcyonacea; Plexauridae. The record is from RNAcentral.
UCCACUGUUGCGUUUUUCAUACGUACGUAUACGCACGUAAAACUUUAAAUCCGUUUAAAUGUUACUUAUGAAAUAACCGAAUAAAUAAAGCAACAGAAUUUAGUGUUCCGCAAGUUUUAGUAUGCAUUUGUUAACGUAUUUGUAAAAUAUUUCAAAAAUAGAAGGAUUCAAAGUUUUACGUGCGUGUACGUGCGUACGAAAAACGCAACAGUGGA